AAGAGUUUUGGCCCUGCCUGGGCAGAAACGAUAAGUGACGUGCGUUGGGAGAGCACCCUCUGAGGAGGACGCUUGGCUUACAGCUUAUCAAAAGCGAGAGGUGCCCCACAGGAGCGUCCAGGUGCUGGUAUAAAAGAUGAGGCUGAAUGAGAGCCGGACAAGAUCCUUCCAGGCUCCUGUCACCAUCCAUAAUUACCCGGGCAGGCAGGUGUAUGUGUUUCCCAAUGGCCGAUCUGAUACAGAAGAGUCAUCAGAGGAGGAACUCAAUGUCAUGGAAUUGCGACCGAGGGGCAAGGAGCAGCAGCGAUGCAGCACUUCUCGGGACAGAGUUGGAGAUGUGGUACUUCUGGAACGAGAGAUUACAGAGGAUGAUAACCUUAACAAGCUAGCCCUGCAGUAUGGUUGUAAAGUUGCAGAUAUCAAACGUGUCAACAACUUCAUCCGGGAGCAGGACUUGUACGCACUGAAGUCCAUCAAGAUCCCCGUGAAGACCCACGGGCUGUUAACGGAGAACGGCAGAGAACUAAGGCCGCUCCCGACUGCGCCCUCCCAGACCGGCCUGACGCUCGUGGACUUACCGGAGCCUGAUGACGGUGCGAGCAGCUCCGCUGAUGGCGGACACCUGAGCGACUACUUCAAGGGGAUUGACAAGAGCAUUCAGGACGCGGUGCAGGUGGAGGUCCAGCUAAACGCGGAGUAUUGCAUGGAAGCGCUGGAGAGGCGGCUGCCCGAGUCAGGGAAGCAGGAGACCAGUAACGGUGCGGACUGUGGAAUCCAGUGGUGGAACGCAGUUUUUAUUAUGCUCCUGAUAGGAAUUGUCCUGCCAGUAUUUUAUAUCAUCUAUUUUAAAACACAAGGCCUGGUGGCCCAUACCUCCAACACCACACUAACCUCAAAUAUUUCAACAGCUGUAUCGGAAGGGAAAUUACCACAAAACUCAACCGUAGAAAAAAAAUCCUAAGGGGGAGAGGCAGCCAAAUACAGCCUCUCCUCCCGGCACUGAAGCCCGGACACCAGUGACUCUGACUCGCCUGCAUUCAGGGGGAUAACAAUACAGAUUAUUUUUAUUUUUUUAAGUAGCUGAUGUUGUAAUCCUGAGCUUGACUGAAAGUGAGGUGAUGUGAUUUUUGUGGAAAACCAAGGAUGCUUUCUUGCUUACAAAGAUCAUCAGGCAGCUGGCUUAACAUUCGUGAACUCUGUUGAGGGAAAGUAUUUUGUAGCAAUUUACUCAUCUUGGUUGCUUCAGACCAUGGCAGUUUUGGCAUACUUAACCCUAAAAUGAUGAACUUCCAGUGCAUUAAGCUAGGUGUGCCACAGCACAAGGAUGCCGACAGCACCUCACCUUUUCAUCCUUUUGAGCAAAUGUUUAAGCUGUGUUUAUUGGGAUGCUUCAAGCCCACCAGUGGGAAGGGUGAGCCCAGACCUCCUCCCCUCGAUGAAAUCCUUCAGAGAUUCUCUUGAAACCCGGUGGCUCUGCAGGCGGAGCUCAUUGCAGAAUCCGUGCUUGCGCCAGGGUAUCGCUCGUCCAGAGCCAAUACUGCAGCAUGACCGCAGAUGGCCAAAGAGUGUUGGAGAAGAACGUGAGUGUAGCGUUAGGCCUGUGGUAUGUAGUACGCGCUUCUCAAAGGCUCAUUUGUUGGGGGGAGGUCUAGCCAGUAUUACUUUAAAAAAAAAAAAAAAUCCAUAAUGGUGCAUCUCAAACACCCAAUUUCAGUCAUGGGCUUGAGUUUCCUUGUUUGUAGUCUUCAUGUGAGAGAGCAUUGCCAAGUUGCAUUAAAUUUUCAAGGUCCAGGAAAGAAGCCCUGCAUUGUUACCUUAGACAGUCACGGAAGGAAGUGUAAAUCCUUCAUAGGACGGGGAUGGUGAAGGUGCUGAUUGUUAAGCGUUUCUGUGAACUGCUGAUAUUUGCAUUAAAAAGUUUCUGAGUGCGUAGGAAGACCAAUGACGCUUGGGAGGCUGGUGGUGUCCCGAGGUGUCGGUAAGCCCGAGGUCUGUGCUCUUUAGGACAAGUCAGUAAAAACUACGUGCUAGAAGUGAGCAGAAAGUGAGGCUUUGGGGAGCUUUGCUGCAGAGAAGAACUUGCCUCAAAAACUUAAUUCAGCAAAUUCAGGGACUGCGGGCAGAGGUAAAUGCUCUCCUAGAACCAAACACUAAGGUAUUUUGCAGCACAGUUGCAUGAAACCUGGCCAGGGAUGGGGUAACGUAUGGUGUAAGUAAGUAGCAGCCAGCUGAAAGCGGCUGGCUCUGUUUCGGUAAGGGUCCUAGCCCUUUCCUGGGGCUCGUCUCCUGCCGUGGAGCUGGCAGCUGCUGUCGGUCCCGAGACUGAGGGCAGAGCUGGUGGGCAGAGCUGGCGGGCAGGUGGACGAAGCUGUUGUUCGUCCUCCCCUCCUUGCCCUGCGCCAGCCCCUCCUGCCCCCGGAUCUGUUCUGUUAGAAGCCGCGCAGGCGGUGCAGGGGUCAGCCCUGCCGUGCUGGCGGGAGGGCAGCCUGUGCGGAGCCUUUCACCAGCGGGCACGGCCGCCACCGAGGCCUGCUGGGGUAGGAGCAAGGGCAGCAGCUUCCGCAAGGCCAGAGCUGUGCUGCCUUGCGGCAGGGGCUGCCGACCCUGCCCACGGUGGCAGCGCGUCACAGCGGGGGAACUUGCGAGUUGCUGCUUUGGUUUUUCGUUGGGUUUUUUUGAAAGCCUUAGUGGACCCUGGUGCUUACAGCUCCGCCAGUGAAGCUGGGGGAGAGCUGCGCUGCAGGCAUCUCUUGCUGGCCUGAGGAAGCGUCUGCAGGGAGCGGGGGGAGGCGGGACUGAGGCUUCCCAGCACCCUGAGGAACACCAUGCCAAGCAAGCAGAACCAUAUGAUGUUCUAACGAUAACCUGUGUUUCCUGCAACCAUCAAAAAAAAAGUGCUCAGGAAAGCCUGAGGGAACCUAAUUUUCUAAACGAGGACUCUGAAGUAUCAUACUGAAAAAAAGAAAUCCCUUGUAUUUUUCUUCUGUGAAGGAGAUGUAACUGUCAUUGUUCUGGGGGGGGAUAAUUACAUUUUUAAAUAAAGCAAAAUGAAAUAAAAGCACAAGG
This is an RNA transcript of Gymnogyps californianus (California condor), 3066 nucleotides long. It is a transcript of the gene named LysM domain containing 4, with no coding region annotated. The record is from RefSeq and is a predicted model, not a curated record. The transcript is spliced from 4 exons. NCBI's taxonomy places the organism in Eukaryota, Metazoa, Chordata, Aves, Accipitriformes, Cathartidae.